RNAcentral lists this ribosomal RNA (497 nucleotides) under uncultured bacterium. Its description in RNAcentral is "partial 16S ribosomal RNA". It matches the Rfam family "Bacterial small subunit ribosomal RNA", at positions 28 to 507 of the family's 1533-position model. The record is from RNAcentral.
GACGAACGCUGGCGGCGUGCCUAAUACAUGCAAGUUGAGCGCUUAAGGUUGGUCCUUGUACCAACUGGAUGAGCAGCGAACGGGUGAGUAACGCGUGGGGAAUCUGCCUUUGAGCGGGGGACAACAUUUGGAAACGAAUGCUAAUACCGCAUAAAAACUUUAAACACAAGUUUUAAGUUUGAAAGAUGCAAUUGCAUCACUCAAAGAUGAUCCCGCGUUGUAUUAGCUAGUUGGUGAGGUAAAGGCUCACCAAGGCGAUGAUACAUAGCCGACCUGAGAGGGUGAUAGGCCACAUUGAGACUGAGACACGGCCCAAACUCCUACGGGAGGCAGCAGUAGGGAAUCUUCGGCAAUAGACGAAAGUCUGACCGAGCAACGCCGCGUGAGUGAAGAAGGUUAUCGGAUCGUAAAACUCUGUUGGUAGAGAAGAACGUUGGUGAGAGUGGAAAGCUCAUCAAGUGACGGUAACUACCCAGAAAGGGACGGCUAACUAAGUG